GAUGAACGCUGGCGGCGUGCUUAACACAUGCAAGUCGAACGAAGCACCUUGAUUUGAUUCUUCGGAUGAAGAUCUUGGUGACUGAGUGGCGGACGGGUGAGUAACGCGUGGGUAACCUGCCUCAUACAGGGGGAUAACAGUUAGAAAUGACUGCUAAUACCGCAUAAGACCACAGCACCGCAUGGUGCAGGGGUAAAAACUCCGGUGGUAUGAGAUGGACCCGCGUCUGAUUAGGGAGGUGGUGGGGUAACGGCCUACCAAGCCGACGAUCAGUAGCCGACCUGGGAGGGUGACCGGCCACAUUGGGACUGAGACACGGCCAAAACGCCUACGGGAGGCAGCAGUGGGGAAUAUUGCACGAUGGGGGAAACCCUGAUGCAGCGACGCCGCGUGAGCGAUGAAGUAUUUCGGUAUGUAAAGCUCUAUCAGCAGGGAAGAAAAUGACGGUACCUGACUAAGAAGCACCGGCUAAAUACGUGCCAGCCGCCGCGGUAA
Molecule: ribosomal RNA, 495 nt
Filed under: uncultured bacterium
Lineage: Bacteria
Description: partial 16S ribosomal RNA
Rfam family: Bacterial small subunit ribosomal RNA
Source: RNAcentral